Cavia porcellus (domestic guinea pig) is the source of this 2085-nucleotide long non-coding RNA. RefSeq lists it as uncharacterized. The record is from RefSeq and is a predicted model, not a curated record. NCBI's taxonomy places the organism in Eukaryota, Metazoa, Chordata, Mammalia, Rodentia, Caviidae. The transcript is spliced from 2 exons.
GAUGGAGCGGCAGCUUCCUUGGCCUCCUGCUGAGGGUAUAUCAAUCCCAACGGCCCAGGAUGCAUUCAUCCCACAUAAGGCUUUGAGUCCUUCUUUAAUAGUAUGGGGUGUUCUGCAUUUUAAGAGACAAAAUAGAAAAUUAAGGGCAUUACUGCAAGCAGACUAACAGCAAGACAUAUGCUUCCUGCUACAUUCUGCAAGAUGCCUGUGAAUUUACAACAGCCAGUCAGCCUCCUGUAAGAAGUUUGCCAUCAGCCUGAAGUGACAAUAUUCUGUCAGCAAGGGUGGCUAUGGCUGAAGUGUUGGAAACACUGAAGCAGCAUAGGCAGCAGCAUGUACGCAGCAUAGCCCAGCGGCUCCUUUCCUGACAGCCUGCCUGGUGGAUGUGGUGUUUCAGUCUGAGGCAACUGUGAACAGUACCAAUGGGCAGGGAGUAGCUGCAGUGUGAAGCUACUGCUUGCUUCCAGCUUACCUGACAUACAGUGUCUGACUUCUGCCCCUGUUGAACAAGAGCUGGCUUUCCAAGGGCCCCACAGGCGCUGUCUUCUACCACAUUGUUAACCUCAGGACUCUGCCUUCCCAAUGGACCAAUGGAUGCUGAAGAAUUUGUGAUUUUGCAGGUUAUUAACUUUAUUUUUGUUAUGAGGGUGGGACUGAUUCUCUUUCCACAUUUUAAGAGAAAUCUAGGAGUCAGAAUCUUCAAAAUGUGAACUGUUUCCUGAGUCCCUGCAAAAGCUGACUUUAUGGAUAUAACAUUAGAACACUGUAAAGGUCCUCUAAGUAUUGUGCCCUGGAUCGAGAAUGCAUUCCAGCACUUCAGGGACCACUUCAUUCCACGUUUUUCCUAAUGACUUGCUUUUCUGCAUUUCUUGGGUACCAUAAUGGAAGAAGACAUCACUUUGUAAAACUUCCACUUCCAUGAAACUCUGGGAAUGGAUUGCUCAAUGCUGUAGUGGCAGUUCUGGUGAGGUGUUGGUAUUUAAUUAUAUUGCACAGAAAACAGAGAGCCAAACAGUACUUGUGACAUUAUUGCACUUCUUGGUAAAUAAAACCAGAGCAAAAUACAUGGUCUACCAGAGGAUUCAUGCUACCCUUUAAAUUAUUUGAUGAGAAGACUAGCAUUUUUAAAUUAGAGUAAAUAUACAUGGGGAUCUACACAUCUUGUAGCCCCUUCUUUGAGAUUCAGAAGAGUGUCUCUCAUUAAGAACUCCAGUAUCCACCCCUCACCACCUGCAACCCCACUGACGCACACACAAUACAGUAUACAUCAAGUCCGAGCUUGUACUGGGCAGUAGCAUUCUCCUAAUCCAACCUAAAAAAAAUAAUUAUCUCAGUCUCUGAAAUUCAGAAUUGCAAUGCAGGAAUCCUUCAUAACUAAUCGCCAGUCCUGAAUCUGGGAGUAUAUAUGUUAUAUUUCCACUAGAAGAAAUAAGUAGUAUAGUUAAUUAACAGACACUAUCAUUUUCCCUUAUGUUCAUUUAAAAGAGAAUUUGUUUCUGAUCCUUAAAAAAAAUCCAAAGAUGAUACUUUUCUCUGCAGUAAUGCCCUCAGUUGUAACCUCAGUGUUAGGAAUCAUGCUCAAUCAGUUGCUGUGUAUGUGAAAAGAAAAAAGAAAUCGAGUUUAACUACUUUUCUUGAAAUCUUUAGUGUUGUUAAAAAUAAGAAUUUGGAAGUAGAAAGAGAAAAAUCCUUUGAAAGAAAGUGUAACAGAUCAUUCACAGCACUGUUGUUUUCUCACUUUAUUUGUCCAGAUUUCUGAACCCUCAGCACCCUCCUCUCAGAGCACUCCCUGGUCUCUGAAAAAAGCGCUGAGCUGAGAUUAUUUAAGUCCCUUUUUCCUCCACUCACCUCUCACAUUCUGGAGGCAGCAACAAUGGGCUGUGAUUGAAAUCUUCCCAGGCAACAUGAACGAUUACCAGGCACAAUGACAAUGUGCAUAAUGGGCACGAAAGAGACAUUGUUAAAGUUUCAGGUGAUUUGAAUUGAGAUGUUAACUCUAAUCAUCUGCUUUUAUAAGAAAUUUGUUUGAAUCUUUUUGUUUGCUUUUUAGUCCCCCCCAGUAAAUGCUGUUUUCUUUUUAUUAUU